ACACCGAAUCGAGCUACCAAAUUCUAGAGGAAUGUGGUACUAAUCAAACUCAACUUAUCCAUAUAUAGAACUCACCAAAUGGUGACCUGAGGAAUGAGAAAUUCGAUCGACACCGAAUCCGAACCGGCGGAGUUUUGGAGCUUGAUUUAUCCCUCACAGCGGCGCCACUCGAUGCACCACCUGUCCAGCAAUGAAGUAGAGACGACGGCGAAGCUUUUGGGACAAGUGUGGCGGUCUCUUGUUGCUUGACGGCGGAGCUAGACCGAGAAGAAAAUCCGGAACUUUUUCUGAUUUUCUGACUUCUUACCAUCCACCUUCGGUAAAACUCUUAAAUAAAGAACUUUACCCGACGAAAUUCUUUAUUUUCGUUGGCUAAACUCUUUUGAAAAUUUUGGUUGAAAAUUUUGAAAAUUUUUUCGACUUUAGCCGACGACUUUUCAUAUAUUUUCGUCGGCUAAAGUCCUUUGAAAAUUUUCCUCCAAAUUUGGUUCACCGCCAAAAAAAUUUUGGCCUUAGCCGACGACUUUUUUAAUAUCUCGUCGGCUAAAAUCUAUAAAUUCACGAAAACGCCUUCCACACAAAAAACUUUCACGUAGAUGAGACGCAACGACCUAUAUAAAAAUUUUGAGACAUUUACCUUCCGACGAUAGGGCUCCCCAUAGGGAAUAAUAACGGUAAAUAGGGUUGACCGCUACUAUUAGCACCGAGACGUUACUCGAUUUACGUGAUUUUUGAACCAUAGCUGUAUUUCACCAUUAUGAACACAUCUUAUUUCACGAAAUUUUUGAUAAUUUUGCUUCCUAUGUAGAGUUGGUUCACAGUUGUAUAACCUACUAAACAAGUUAUACAACAUUAGUAGACACGUUGUGAUUCCGAUGACUAAAAUUCACAAACCAAAAUUCGACCGUCAUAUAUGAUCAUUAUGACGAAAGAUGUCUAUAGUAAAAAAUUCAACUGGAUUCGACAACGUUAAGGGCUCGAUCGAAACGAUCAACUCUAAUCGGAAACAAAAAACUACAUUUUAAAGCCCUAAACGGACUCGGAUGGCCAAAAAGGCCCAUAUGCCAUGGCAUAGCAAUAAGUUUGACUCGUAGGGCCGUUACGCUUCCGGAAAGGUAUCACAAUAAUCAAUCGGGCACCAAACGCCAAAUCUGCAGCAUAGUGAAUAAUAAGGGUAAAUUGCAUUGACCGCAACUAUCGGCACCGAGACUUUACCGGAAUACCGUGAUUUUUCAACCGUAGACGUAUUUCACCAUUCUGGUCAUAUCUUAUAUUGCAUAACUUUUUUGCGUUUGAAGGUUCUACGUAUAGUUUUUUUUUCCCAGAUGAGUUGUUGUCCAAAUCUGCAAAUAUAAGGCACUUUAGCCGACGAAAUUAUAUUUUUCGUCGGCUAAACUUUUAAAAAUUUCGGCGGUUAAAGUUCACAAACUUUUAAAAAUUUCGUCGGCUAAAGUUCACAGCCGACGAAAAAAAUUAUUCAGACGACGAAAUUUUAAUUUCGUCGUCCAAAGUUGACUAAAGCCGACAAAAAUUUCGUCGUCCAAAGUUGAUCAAAGCCGACGAAAAUUUAAAUUAGCCGACGAAAAAAUAAUUCGUCGGCCUGGUUUUUUUAUUUUCGUCGGCUAAAGCCUUUCUUCUGGUAGUGUAUAGUGAGGGAGACAUGGCCGGACACGCAGGAGAAAGAGAUGUUCGAAGCCAUAUCUCGGAUCGACACUUCGGAUCCGACGGUUGGGGCAAGGAUCAUGGGCACAGCCUUCCCACCGCGAGCAAACAACUUCUACUGCCGGGGUCUAGGAAAGAAGGGCGAGGGGAUCCUGAAGACCACUCCAGGAUUUCAACGAAAGGCAGCCUUGACCAGUAGCAGGACCACGACCACCAGGACCACUCAGCUAGAGUCGGAAGUUCAGAGACUACGAGAACAGAAAGCUGCUCAGGCAGCAUAUAAUGCCGCGCAGGCACCCUAUGCUGCCGAGAUAUAUACCAUCCAGCAAGCCCAGCAGCAGCAGAUGUUCUAGUACAUGCAGGAGUUUACAACUUCCCAGCUUCAGGGACUUCCGGCUCCGCCCAUGCCUACGGCUAUACCGCUACCCCAGCCGCCGCAACCUCCGCAGCAGCCCCCAGAAGCGGAAAUUAAUUUAGACGAUCUAGAUUUUGUGUAGUUGAUGAAUUAUAUAGUUUUAUGUGCUUGUUGGUUAUAUGGAAUUGUUUUGGUGUAUUUUGCAACUUGCUUAGNNNNNNNNNNNNNNNNNNNNAUAAUUACGCUCAUUAUUGCCUAACUUCAAUAUUCUUACAUCGGACGAUCCGAACUUAAAUAUCAUACUCCACAGUCGUAAAUAUAACCUCCUCAAAAUACGACUUAAAUCCUACGGCCGGAUUCUACAUUAAUUAACCGCCAAAAAUACCAAACUUCGGAAAAUCACAAACCUAUCCAAAUCUCAUCCAAAAAUUCCAUAAAUCACACCAAUAUACUCCUCUUAAUAUUCCACAUUUAAAACCCUAAAAAUCUCCUAACCGGCGGCGGCCGGCAGCCGUUUUCCGGCGACCUGCAAAUGCUACCAAAUUUUAACAGAAUCUUCCUCUCAAUCUCCUCUACAACUUUCAUGACUAACACAUCACCCAAUUCCAAGCCUAACUAGGCUAAUCGAACGAAAACAACUUAAACACCAUAAAACUUCCACCUCAAAUUUCUCCUUACCUAGCUCAAGAGGGAGGGAGCUGUUUGGAGGGGUUGUUGCAUGGGAGGAGGGCUACAAAACCGUACCAAGCUUGCCCGGAUUGGUGGCCGGAGGAGGAAGUUCCGGCGAAGGGAAGUUCGGGACAGCCCUUGCUUUCGGGCGGCACCGCUCUCUCACGGCGGCGCUAGGGCUCCUCUCACCGGUCUAGAAAUGUUGCUGGGAGGGAGACCGACCGAACGGGACCGGUCCGGCGGCGAACGGAGGUCGGACGGCGGCGGGAGGACAGCCGGAAAACCGGGCAGCGGGAGGCUCGGGGAGAGGAAAAGAAAAGAGGGAAAAACAGAAAGGGAGGAGGAAAAUGAAAAUGGGUUGGGCCUCCACCGGUCCAACCUAUAUCAACCCACUUCCAAAAAAAUAAAAACACCCCGAAAAAAUAAUACCCGAAUAAAAAUUACCUUUUACUAGCUAAAAUUUACCAUUUUUACCGUCGUCGUAUUUUCCUCAUACUAAUAAUCCUCCGCACAUAAUCGUCCCCGAAACCCCUCUAGGGACCAAUUAAACUAUUUACUCAAUGAUCGAGACGGUAAAAUUUUUAUUAUAAUCAGGCUAGUAAAUAAGGUAAAAAUAUAAGGGUCGGGAUGUGACAAACGUUGUUAGGGGAUACAAGGCUUGUCUAGAGUGCUUUAGCGAUGAGGGGAGCAGCAGUCAUUGCAACAAGAUAUGCAAAUUGGGUCACCGUACUCUCCUUCCAUAUGAUCACGAAUGGCUGUUCGAUGCACAGGCAUUUGAUGAGACCAUUGAAAACGGUGUGUCUCUCAGAAGAUGGACGGGGGAAGAAAUUUUAGCAGUGCUUAAAGAGUACGAUUUUGGGCAGCUCAGCAAUCAUCCCAAUCUUGUGGCGGCAAUAUCUGAAAGACCCAACAGGUACAAAUUCUGGACACAAAAGAGCAUAUUCUGGGAACUCCCGUACUGGAGUAAGUUGUUGAUCAGACACUACCUAGAUUUGAUGCACAUAGAAAAGAAUGUUUGCAACAGUGUGGUGGGCACAGUGCUGAAUUUGGAGGGGAAGACGAAAGACGGUCCUACGGCACGCAUUGAUCUAAAAAAAAUGCAAUUAAGAAGACAUCUGUGGUUGAAAGAAUGGAAGAAAAAAAUGCCUCAAGCUCCUUACACCGUGAAGCCUGGCUAAAAGAACGUAAUUUUCAAGUGGAUGAGUUGUGUGAAGUAUCCUUCAGGCUAUGCAGGAAAUAUAGCCCGGUGUGUAAACUUCCGGAACAAUAAGAUGUACGGGUCGAAGAGUCAUGACUGUCAUAUCCUGCUACAACUUCUCUUCCCUGUUUUCAUUCGACCGUUCCUUCACCGUCAGGUGGUGGAGCCGUUAGUAGCGUUGGCAAGAUUCUUCCAGAAGUUAUGCACACGGGAAGUGAAAAAAUCUAACCUUCGGGAAAUGCAAGAGGACAUCAUUUAUAUCAUGUGUAAAUUUGAGAAGAUAUUUCCUCCAAAUUUUUUCACAUCAUGCCUCACCUAAUGAUCCAUCUUCCCGAGAAAUUGUUGCUUACCGGUCCAAUACACUACACUUGGAUGUAUCCCAUGGAAAGGUACGUUUUUUACACUUGAAUUCCUCAAUAUACAUGUUCAAUAAUCAUAACACUUUGCAACUUUAUUUAUAAGCAACUUGGAGACUAUAAAGAUUAUGUGGCUAAUAAAUCCGCGCCUGAAAAAUGUAUAGCUGAAAAAUAUAUUGCGCACGAGUGCGUCACCUAUAUGAAGUUGUAUUUAGGAGCGUUGAAGGAAACUCCGCAAACCAUACCGGUAGAUGUACCAAAGUUCAAACUUUCCAUACUCUCCAGUGAUGUUGAAGUUUAUGGAAUUUUGCCAGACUCCUACAAGUUGCAACCACAUGAGCUAGUCAUUGCCCACUGGUGGGUAUUGAUUAACUGUCCAGAAGUUGAAUACUGGAAAGAUAUCCAUGUAAAUUGUCCAGACAUUCAAGGUGAUCUCGAUUACCACAACAUGGAGUUCGCAAACUAUUUUGGCGGCUGGGUACGUAAUUCAAUAUUUCUGUACGUGUUUAUGUUUAUUGCAUAAUUAUUCAUAUUUACAGUUGAAUGGUUGGUUGCAGAUGAACCAUAUUCAAUUUGAUGGUCACCCAAUUUGGUCGCACGAACUAAGACUUCUAGCGAUGAAGCCGAUGAUGUCAAGAGUUUAUCCGAUGUCCAAGGUGAAUGGCGUGCAAUUUAUAUGUGAAUAGAGAGACAGCAGACGGAGAACACAAAAUUCUGGGGUCAUGGCACAUGGUGGGCGGAAUGGAGUUGACUAUUACGGUGUUCUCCAUUCAAUGGUGGAACUCGUUUAUGGGCAAGGCAUGACAGUGCACCUCUUCAAGUGUAGAUGGUUUGAUACUAGGCCGCAGAGCAUGAAGACCGAUCAGUACGGAAUAUUAUUGGUGAACAUUGCUACAAGUUCUUACGAAGAUGACCCGUUCGUUUUUGCCACAUUGGUAAAACAAGUGUUUUAUCUUUAUGACUUUGCUAAGGGUGACGCGUGGAAAGUAGUCAACCUUGUGUACCCACGAAAAAUUUACCGGGCGGCUACACUUGGAGAGGCCGAAGACGAGGAAGAAGAUGUUGCGUAUCAAGAGCCCAACGCAAUAGGUAUUCCUAAUUAUUCUACCGUUCGUCUUAGUAAUUUUAAAGCGGGUCGUUCGGUGCGAAUUCAUGAUGAAGAGCCAAGGCUUAUUGAUGUUGAUCAAAAUCAAGAAACAGACGAAGACUCUGGCGAUGAGGAAAGGCAUAGAUUACCAGAAAUUAAUUCUGACACCAAAGAAGACUCAUCGAAUGAUUCCGAUUACGAGCCUUAGUUUUAAUUCCGAUUACAUUAAUUUAUAAUAAAGAAGAAUGUAUAACCUUUAUAGUUUACAUAUAUUGAAUUCAUAUUUCUGUUAUUUUAUAUGAAUUUUGGUGAUAUAUGAACAUAAAGUUAGUAUGGUUUAAACCUUCUGUUUUUUUAAUGUAUUUUUACACUUUAGCUGACGAAAUAUACCAUAAUUUGUCGGCUUAAACCAUCUUAACCGACGAAAUAUACCAUAAUUUGUCGGCUUAAACAAUCUUAGCCGACGAAAUAUACCAUAAUUCGUCAGCUUAAAUCAUCUUAGCCGACGAAAUAAGUCAUAAUUCGUCGGCUAAGAUGCGGUUAGCCGACGAAUACCCUAAUAUUUCGUCGGCUAAGCCCUAAACCCUAAAAAUUUUAUAUGACUUGUUGGGUCUCAUCAGUUUGAAACUAUUUUCAGUUGAAGGUCCGGCCAAAAUACGUAAUUUAGACUGUCCAAUAACCUUUUCCGUGCGUUUAGGGGUUUGACUUAAGGGAUUGACCGUCCGGAUCGAGCCCUUAACCUUAUCGGAUCAAGUUGAAUUUUUUUCCAUACAUGUAUUUUAUCAUGAUGGUCAGAUCUGACGGUGUGAUUUUCGCUUCUCAAGUUUGAUCAUCACAAUCACAACAUGCCUACUAAUGUUGUAUAACUUGUUUACCAAGUGUUGAAGUAAAUGUCUUGUUUCAAAAACAAAAUAUACGUAGAACCUUCAAACGCAAAAAAGUCGUGAAAUAAGAUAUGACCAGAAUGGUGAAAUACGUCUGCAUUUGAAAAAUCAUGGUAUUCUGGUAAAGUCUCGGUGCCGAUAGUUGCGGUCAAUGCAAUUUUCCAUUCUUUAUCCCUAUGGGUAGCCCUAUCUUCGGUGGUUAUUUUCCGUAAAAUUUUUAUAUGACUUGUUGGGUCUCAUCGGUUUGAAACUAUUUUCAGUUGAAGGUCCGGCCAAAAUAUGUAAUUUAGACGGUCCAAUGACCUUUUCCGUACGUAUAGGGGUUUGACUUAACGGAUUGACUGACCGGAUUGAGCCCUUAACCUUGUCGGAUCAAGUUGAAUUUUUUCCUAUACAUGUAUUUUAUCAUGAUGGUCAGAUCUGACGGUCGGAUUUUCGUUUCUCAAGUUUGAUCAUCACAAUCACAAUGUGCCGAAUGUAUAAAAGUGCUUUAGCCGAUGAAUUUCAAAGGUUAGCCGACGAAUUUUAAAGGUUUAGCCGACAAAUUUUAAAGUUUAACCGACGAAUUUCAAAUUUUAGCCGACGAAUUUCAAAGUUUAGCCGACUAAUUUAAAGGUUUAGCCGACGAAACGGUAUACAGACGAAGACCCAUCGCUUGACAGCCUCCACAACGCGUUUCAAAAACCCUAGCUAGCCUCCUCUGCCUCCUCCGCCUCCCUCUCCCGGUCUCCCGGUCUGCCUCCUCCGCCUCCUCUCCCUCUCUCGGUGUCCCGGUUGCCCUCUCCCUCUCUCGGUCUCCCAGUCCGCCUCCUCCACCUACUGCCCUAGCCCCGAUCCGUCCUCCUAAUACCGGCCGGCCUGCUUGAGCCCUCCCUCCUCCUGCUGUUGCUCUAGCCCUCUCUCCUCCUCUUGCUGCUCCAACCUCGAGCCCUCCCUCCUCCUCAAGUCCAUUUCAACCCGGAGAGGUGUCCGAUCUCUCUUGGGUUUCGACUGCAUUUCAGGUAAUUUUGCGAUUGUUGUUAUGCAUUGAUGACGUGCGUUAGUUGUUGUCUUUGAAUUUGCGGAGGAGUUGGCUUUAUGUGUUUGCUAGUUAGAGGCAUUCAUUCUCACAUUUAUUCUCUAGGACAAGUGACGAUUGCUUAUUGUUUUCUGCUCAUAGUUUGGAAGAUCUCUCGGUCAUUUUAAUUCAUGUUUCUGAAAUUUAGUCCUUGUUCUCAAUCAAAAUUUAAUGGGGUACUAAGGAGAUGAGGUCAUUUGAAUUUGUUGUGAAUUUUGGAGAAUUAGGAAACAUAAUUUGUAUUUGGUAUCUAAGCCAAUAUAGAUAGUGCUGAAGUGCGUCAAUUANNNNNNNNNNNNNNNNNNNNAGUUGAUGAAUUAUAUAGUUUUAUGUGUCUUGUUGGUUAUAUGGAAUUGUUUUGGUGUAUUUUGCAACUUGCUUAGAAUGGUAAUUUAGUAAAUUUUUGGGGUUUUUUUUUUUACUGGAAUGGACUUAUAGCCGACGAAAUUCGACAUAAUUCGUCGGCUAUAGUUAUUUUUAAUUUUUUUUAUAAGGUUUAGCCGAUGAAUUAUGGAAAUGUCUCGUCGGCUAAACCCUGCUAAAGCCGACGACACAGACUAUAUUUUGUCGGCUUUAGUUAUUUUUUAUUUUUUUAUUACAUACUAUAGCCGACGAAUAUAUUAAACGUUUCGUCGGCUAAAGUCUCAGACUAAGUCGACGAAACAUUUAAGAUAUUCGUCGGCUAAAUUCUAGGAAAAAAGCCGACGAUCUCUUUUUCGUCGGCUAAAUUUUGAGACUAAAGCCGACGACGUCUUCUAGUUUCGUCGGCUAAAGUGAUUGCCAACGACUUUUUCCCGACGAAAUCUUAGCCGAUGAAGGCUUGUCAACUAAGAUCUUAGCCGAUAAAUUAAGCUAACAGGCCGACGAAACUUUUUCGUUGGUUAAAGUGCUUGUCCUGGUAGUGUUAGUAUGUGAUAAAUAUGGACAAAAUUGUUCAGAUUCCCAAAUAGGGCCCAACUUUGGCUGUUUGACAAAAAAUGGCGAAAUUACUUUGGGCCCUUUGAUGUGCCCCUGUUGGUCUGUGCCUAGUGCGGUCGCACGGGCCGCAUUGGGCUUGGGCCGAGCUUGCAUAUGAAUAUAACCCUCAGCUCAACACAGGAAUAGCAAAAGAACAGUGGUAAUGUAACUCCAAUUUCUUCAAUACCAGAUAAACAGAACAGCUGAAAAUUUGACACCAUCUCACAAAUAAGCAGAACAAGCACUCAGACUCAUACACUCAAACCAUAAUCCAACUUAUUAGGUCGAGUAAUUAGUCCGAAAAACAAGAUAUAAAUUUACUUCGCCACCUUUUUCUUUGGUUGACGGCAUACACAAUUUUGAUAAAAGAAAUUACGAAAAGUUGACAAUAUCAUGCAUACAAGCCAAGACCACAACAAGAAUCUAUGAAACAAGUGACUGAACUACACAUUCGAAUCGAUUCUACCAAAUCUUGUUGAAUGCUCCACAAUAUGAAGAGAGUCACAAUAGCCAGAGAGGCUCAUCUACUGAAUACUAACACAAGCUUUACACACUCUCAUUCUUCAAUUCUAAACGCAGGCAACCAUCUCUCAAGGAAACACACAACUAUCAAAUGUAGCCACAUAAUCAAAACGAAAUUUAGAUCAUCUUUCCAACAUCACUAGUCCAAAACAAAUAUAAAAUUUUUCUUCAAACUUCAACUUAAGUUCAAUUAACAAAAGAAAAAACAGACAAAUGAUGACGCAUGGCAAGGUGUAACCCAAAAACUCAGCUUCAAUUAUAUGAUCCCAAAGAUAGAGAUACUCAGUCAGAAAGAUAUUACCAAUCUAUAUUGCAAGCUGUGUGAGAUACCCAACCUAUUGCAAGAGAGUCACAAAUAUACAAUUUUUCUUCAAAUUUUAAACUUCAAUUAACAAAAGAAAAAAUGGACAAAUGAUGACGCAGUGUCAGGACCCACCCCAAAUUUCACCCCGAAACACGAGGUAAAUCCUGUGGGGUCCACUUUCAAGGAAAAUUUACCGAAAAUUCGGCAUAACCUUCCUUGAAAAUGGACAACCCUUACCUGAAAAAAAAAAAUCCAAUUUACACUUCUAUAACCAAAUAAACCAGCCUCAACACCUGGAGCCUUCCUGCUCCCCAAGUUCAUCACAUCCCCCAAAUUAAUCAAAUACUAAACUUUAGGAAUUCCACAACCAACAACAAAGACAACAUUUAUUCACUAACUGGUUAUCAGAGCAUAUCUAGUAAUGAAAGAAUAACAAUGAAUAAAGAUUAAGCUGAAGCAGCCUCUGACUAUGUCUCGACUCUAAUUUAACAAUACAGAAUUAGACAUGUAAACUUCUCAAUCCCCAGGUGGCGGACUACCGCCUAGGAGUGGAUCUUGAGUUGAUCUAUUUUUACUUAUUUUGUGAAGUGUUUUUGAUUCCUGUCCGUUAAUUUUAAGGAUUAUUGUUUUAUUUUCUUUUCCUUAUCUCCUUUUGAGCCUGUUACUCUCCUCAACCAAACAAUAAGUACAGGUCCAAACACUAAGUCCCAUGUGAGGCAUGAGCGGAUGCGGCAUGAGCGGCGUAGAGAAAGUAAUAGUCUUUAGGAUCUUAAGCCAAGGAUCUUAAAACCUCCUAUCCUUUUAGUUUCGGUCAAGUUUUCUCUUCUCAUCCCAAAAUGAGUCGACUUUUUAGGUCUAACUCAGUCACUUCUAGUUCGUCUAAGUCCUCCCUCAAUAGAAUCUCAUAUAUAAGCAACGAAGAACAAAUAGAGUUUUAGUCAAACGAUAACAUAGACAUGAAUGACUGGAAUAUUCCUAGAGUUCCUAGUCAUGAAAUUUAUUGAGACAUUUACUUUCCGACGAUAGGGCUCCCCAUAGGGAAUAAUAACGGUAAAUAGGGUUGACCGCUACUAUCGGCACCGAAACGUUACCCAAUUUACGUGAUUUUUGAACCAUAGCCGUAUUUCACCAUUCUGAACACAUCUUAUUUCACGAGAUUUUUGAUAAUUUUGCUUCCUAUAUAGAGUUGGUUCACAAAGUUGUAUAACCUGUUAAACAAGUUACACAACAUUAGUAGACACGUUGUGAUUCCGAUGACUAAAAUUCACAAACCAAAAUUCGACAGUCAUAUAUGAUCAUUAUGAUGAAAGAUGUCUGUGGUAAAAAAUUCAACUGGAUCCGACAACGUUAAGGGCUCGAUCGAAACAGUCAACCCUAAUC
RNAcentral lists this long non-coding RNA (10431 nucleotides) under Fragaria vesca (wild strawberry). RNAcentral's name for it is "long non-coding RNA (FVES_LNC001801)". Lineage: Eukaryota; Viridiplantae; Streptophyta; Magnoliopsida; Rosales; Rosaceae. The record is from RNAcentral.